GAGAUCCCAGUCAAAAUCAGGCUAUAGGAUCUUACAAAGCUGGAGUUUGCUUUGGGAGUUGUGUUGCCGUUUUUCUAGAAAAUCACCAUUAAUGGCGGCAUAAGUGGUAAUAAUGUUGAUUCAAGCUUAAUAGGCACUCCACAAUGGCUAUCUGCUGUGAGCACACUGUCAAGAUCUUAACAUACACCUUAUGGCAUCAUAUCAGUGACUCUCUGGUAACCGCCAUGGGAAUUCACUUGUGUCAAUUCCAGCUUGGUGAAGUUCAUCAACAUACUGUAAAGCUUCUCUACAUUCCUCACGAUCAUCAAAAAAUUCUCUCUUCUCACCUUCUAUUUGGAAUGCUUCAUGGCCUUUG
Molecule: unclassified non-coding RNA, 355 nt
Filed under: Hevea brasiliensis (rubber tree)
Lineage: Eukaryota; Viridiplantae; Streptophyta; Magnoliopsida; Malpighiales; Euphorbiaceae
Source: RNAcentral